ACAGCUUCUAGCAUGUUCCACUCACUGCCACACAGACAUCAACCCUCUCCCCAUAGUGCAUACAUCACAUAUCCAACACAUUAUCCACUUUCCCCAAACAAAUCCCCUAGAAUCCAUGUGCAAGACUAAAAAUAGGAAUAAACUUCCCCUGACAUGCUGGCAGAUUACUCUGUGGCCCAGAGCAUAGUUGGUUAAUUAGGAUUUUGUUUCUGAAUUCACUCCUUCCAAAAGACCAGAGACCAGGAAAGAAACUAGCUUCAUAAUCUACAGUAAGUUGCUGAAACUGUCUGGGUGAGCUGAGCCCACCAGGCUGCUAACUGAGAAAGCAAAUGUGCAAACAUGCUGGAUGAGCUAAAUAAGUGGUUACCUCUCUCUCAUGGCUGGGGCUGACAGGAGUCCAUUUUAUGAAGUAAGACAGUGAUACAUGUAACAUGAACAUACCGUGGAACAGGCAGCUUAUCUGUCUAGCUUGUGAACCAGCCUAGUGUCCAAGUAAGAGACCAGUUGAUCUGUCCAGAAAGGGGCCUCGUACCAGCUACCUGGCUAUAAGUUUAACCUGUCCACUGAACUGCCAGCGCACAGACCUUAUUCCUCCGGCAAAUCCCUUGUACUGUACAGGGCCCUCAACUCCUACAGCGGCUCCGAAGGCUGCCAACAGUAAGUGGCGAGUUAAACCGCUACUGGGAACAGCCUCUCUCUUCUCAAACGCUGCAAGCUGUUAUGUGCCUUCAAGGCGAUCAUGACUUAUGGCGACCCUAUGAAUCAGCGACCUCCAAGAGCAUCUGUCAUGAACCACCCUGUUCUGAUCUUGUAAGUUGAGGUCUGUGCCUUCCUUUAUGGAAUCAAUCCAUAU
Rhineura floridana is the source of this 853-nucleotide long non-coding RNA. RefSeq lists it as uncharacterized. The transcript has 4 exons. Lineage: Eukaryota; Metazoa; Chordata; Lepidosauria; Squamata; Rhineuridae. The record is from RefSeq and is a predicted model, not a curated record.